Molecule: small RNA, 117 nt
Filed under: Hafnia alvei ATCC 51873
Lineage: Bacteria; Pseudomonadati; Pseudomonadota; Gammaproteobacteria; Enterobacterales; Hafniaceae
Description: SraH RNA
Source: RNAcentral
GUGAAACCCAUAAAUUAUGUUUACGCAAUUGAUCCAACUUAAUACCUUUAGAAAAACUUAGCGUAAACAUUCAGUUUCCCUGGUGUUGGCGCAGUCGUUGCGCACCCCAGCCUAGGC